RNAcentral lists this ribosomal RNA (2903 nucleotides) under Klebsiella quasipneumoniae. RNAcentral's name for it is "23S ribosomal RNA". It matches the Rfam family "Bacterial large subunit ribosomal RNA". The record is from RNAcentral. Lineage: Bacteria; Pseudomonadati; Pseudomonadota; Gammaproteobacteria; Enterobacterales; Enterobacteriaceae.
GGUUAAGCGACUAAGCGUACACGGUGGAUGCCCUGGCAGUCAGAGGCGAUGAAGGACGUGCUAAUCUGCGAAAAGCGUCGGUAAGGUGAUAUGAACCGUUACAGCCGGCGAUGUCCGAAUGGGGAAACCCAGUGUGAUUCGUCACACUAUCGUUAACUGAAUACAUAGGUUAACGAGGCGAACCGGGGGAACUGAAACAUCUAAGUACCCCGAGGAAAAGAAAUCAACCGAGAUUCCCCCAGUAGCGGCGAGCGAACGGGGAGCAGCCCAGAGUCUGAAUCAGCUUGUGUGUUAGUGGAACGGUCUGGAAAGUCCGACGGUACAGGGUGAUAGUCCCGUACACCAAAAUGCACAGGCUGUGAACUCGAAGAGUAGGGCGGGACACGUGGUAUCCUGUCUGAAUAUGGGGGGACCAUCCUCCAAGGCUAAAUACUCCUGACUGACCGAUAGUGAACCAGUACCGUGAGGGAAAGGCGAAAAGAACCCCGGCGAGGGGAGUGAAAAAGAACCUGAAACCGUGUACGUACAAGCAGUGGGAGCACCUUUAUGGUGUGACUGCGUACCUUUUGUAUAAUGGGUCAGCGACUUAUAUUCUGUAGCAAGGUUAACCGUAUAGGGGAGCCGCAGGGAAACCGAGUCUUAACUGGGCGUUAAGUUGCAGGGUAUAGACCCGAAACCCGGUGAUCUAGCCAUGGGCAGGUUGAAGGUUGGGUAACACUAACUGGAGGACCGAACCGACUAAUGUUGAAAAAUUAGCGGAUGACUUGUGGCUGGGGGUGAAAGGCCAAUCAAACCGGGAGAUAGCUGGUUCUCCCCGAAAGCUAUUUAGGUAGCGCCUCGUGAACUCAUCUUCGGGGGUAGAGCACUGUUUCGGCUAGGGGGUCAUCCCGACUUACCAACCCGAUGCAAACUACGAAUACCGAAGAAUGUUAUCACGGGAGACACACGGCGGGUGCUAACGUCCGUCGUGAAGAGGGAAACAACCCAGACCGCCAGCUAAGGUCCCAAAGUCAUGGUUAAGUGGGAAACGAUGUGGGAAGGCACAGACAGCCAGGAUGUUGGCUUAGAAGCAGCCAUCAUUUAAAGAAAGCGUAAUAGCUCACUGGUCGAGUCGGCCUGCGCGGAAGAUGUAACGGGGCUAAACCAUGCACCGAAGCUGCGGCAGCGACACGAUGUGUUGUUGGGUAGGGGAGCGUUCUGUAAGCCUGCGAAGGUGGCCUGUGAGGGUUGCUGGAGGUAUCAGAAGUGCGAAUGCUGACAUAAGUAACGAUAAAGCGGGUGAAAAGCCCGCUCGCCGGAAGACCAAGGGUUCCUGUCCAACGUUAAUCGGGGCAGGGUGAGUCGACCCCUAAGGCGAGGCCGAAAGGCGUAGUCGAUGGGAAACAGGUUAAUAUUCCUGUACUUGGUGUUACUGCGAAGGGGGGACGGAGAAGGCUAUGUUAGCCGGGCGACGGUUGUCCCGGUUUAAGCAUGUAGGCUGGUUAUCCAGGCAAAUCCGGAUAAUCAAGGCUGAGGUGUGAUGACGAGGCACUACGGUGCUGAAGUAACAAAUGCCCUGCUUCCAGGAAAAGCCUCUAAGCAUCAGGUAACACGAAAUCGUACCCCAAACCGACACAGGUGGUCAGGUAGAGAAUACCAAGGCGCUUGAGAGAACUCGGGUGAAGGAACUAGGCAAAAUGGUGCCGUAACUUCGGGAGAAGGCACGCUGGUGUGUAGGUGAAGCCCCUGCGGGUGGAGCUGAGACCAGUCGAAGAUACCAGCUGGCUGCAACUGUUUAUUAAAAACACAGCACUGUGCAAACACGAAAGUGGACGUAUACGGUGUGACGCCUGCCCGGUGCCGGAAGGUUAAUUGAUGGGGUUAUCCGUAAGGAGAAGCUCUUGAUCGAAGCCCCGGUAAACGGCGGCCGUAACUAUAACGGUCCUAAGGUAGCGAAAUUCCUUGUCGGGUAAGUUCCGACCUGCACGAAUGGCGUAAUGAUGGCCAGGCUGUCUCCACCCGAGACUCAGUGAAAUUGAACUCGCUGUGAAGAUGCAGUGUACCCGCGGCAAGACGGAAAGACCCCGUGAACCUUUACUAUAGCUUGACACUGAACAUUGAGCCUUGAUGUGUAGGAUAGGUGGGAGGCUUUGAAGCGUGGACGCCAGUCUGCGUGGAGCCAACCUUGAAAUACCACCCUUUAAUGUUUGAUGUUCUAACGUUGGCCCCUUAUCGGGGUUGCGGACAGUGUCUGGUGGGUAGUUUGACUGGGGCGGUCUCCUCCCAAAGCGUAACGGAGGAGCACGAAGGUUAGCUAAUCCUGGUCGGACAUCAGGAGGUUAGUGCAAUGGCAUAAGCUAGCUUGACUGCGAGCGUGACGGCGCGAGCAGGUGCGAAAGCAGGUCAUAGUGAUCCGGUGGUUCUGAAUGGAAGGGCCAUCGCUCAACGGAUAAAAGGUACUCCGGGGAUAACAGGCUGAUACCGCCCAAGAGUUCAUAUCGACGGCGGUGUUUGGCACCUCGAUGUCGGCUCAUCACAUCCUGGGGCUGAAGUAGGUCCCAAGGGUAUGGCUGUUCGCCAUUUAAAGUGGUACGCGAGCUGGGUUUAGAACGUCGUGAGACAGUUCGGUCCCUAUCUGCCGUGGGCGCUGGAGAAUUGAGGGGGGCUGCUCCUAGUACGAGAGGACCGGAGUGGACGCAUCACUGGUGUUCGGGUUGUCAUGCCAAUGGCACUGCCCGGUAGCUAAAUGCGGAAGAGAUAAGUGCUGAAAGCAUCUAAGCACGAAACUUGCCCCGAGAUGAGUUCUCCCUGAGACUUUAAGUCUCCUGAAGGAACGUUGAAGACGACGACGUUGAUAGGCCGGGUGUGUAAGCGCAGCGAUGCGUUGAGCUAACCGGUACUAAUGAACCGUGAGGCUUAACCUU